GGUGCUGUGGCAUAGUAGCUUAGGCAUCUGCCUGUGGUGCAGACAUCCUAUUGGGCUCUGGUUCGAAUCCCAGCAGCUCCA
RNAcentral lists this transfer RNA (81 nucleotides) under Oryctolagus cuniculus (rabbit). It matches the Rfam family "tRNA". Rfam says of the family: Transfer RNA (tRNA) molecules are approximately 80 nucleotides in length. Their secondary structure includes four short double-helical elements and three loops (D, anti-codon, and T loops). The record is from Rfam by way of RNAcentral. Lineage: Eukaryota; Metazoa; Chordata; Mammalia; Lagomorpha; Leporidae.